AGCUGAAGAUUCACUAGCUGCUGGAUUGCUACCGCACAGUAAAUUUUCAUAAUCAUAUACUCUGUCCUGCAGAGAGACUUCUUCUCUAAUACAAGUUUCUGAUUAAAUAACUGUUGGUCAGAAAAAGAAAGCAGCACUUUAUUUUAGUGUGAACUGCUUCUGAGAAAACAUGUUUUAUCUUGCAUCAAUAGACAAUCCACAAUAUUAGUGAACUUUUUUUUUUUUUUUCUGCAUAUACAAAUGUUUUCCAAACCUAGGUUUCUCUUCUUAAACAAUUCGUCCACCAUGGUAAAAUCUCUACGCACACAAUCAGUAUUCUCCUUUGAAUACUUGCUUGUACACAGGUCACAAUUCUUCUUGACCCUGCUUCAUUUUAUUUUCUUAGUAAUAUUUUCCAGUAAUUACAUUUCAAUGUGACUUUGUCUUUCCUCCCUUUUCCCCCCUCCCUAUUUCAGUCACUUACUCAGCACUGCACAGAAUUCUUCCCAGGGUUAAUUAUCUUUGGUUGGUCUUUUCAGCCUAUAACUACUGAACAUUUUAAUAAAAUCGUAUUGUUAGAGGAGUUCUUCCAGCUGAUUGAUGGGCCUACAGAAUUAUAUUAAAGAUUGCAUUAGAUCUCUGAACAUCCCUCUUCUAAUCCCUCACUCCAGCAAUAUAUUUGAUACAAAUAUUUCUACUGUUGAUGUGAGUUUAUGAAAUACUGUUUCUAAUUGCCCAUUACCUCCUGUAUUGAUAGUGUCUCUGAAUAAAUUCCUACCUUUUUAUUGCUGCUUUUUGACUUGAUAUCUGCUCUGGUAUUUUUACAGUGUCAGUGACAUUUUAAGAUGUGUUAUUUGGACCAACCCCCUCCGUUGCCCUCUUUGAGCUUUGCACUUAUUUUUUGUACAAGUAUUAUUGCGACUCUUUGCCUGUUUUGCUGAACCGAGGAGCUGCACCUCUGCAGAGUGGCUGCCCCCAUGCCAUCCUCGGAUUUUCCUGCCAGGCCAUAAGAGACCCCAGUCCCCUGGGCCCUCGUGCUGUCCGCAUGGUGGUGACAGCAGCCUGGCCAUGCUGGGUGGCAGUGCCACACGAGCCCCUUGUCCCCUGCGGUAGGGACAGACCCCAUGCCCUGCCAGUGGGGCCGGGGCCAUACCCACACACCCAGCGACAUGGGGAUGUCGGUCCCGUGUAACCCAGAGCCUUUAAAAACAGGGGGUUGCUAAUUGUGCUCCUACCACGUAUUUGUACUUUUUAAUUGGUUGGGUUAACGUUUUACUGAUGUGCAAAGCAUGUGAUUUUUUUGGGUGCUAAUUAGGCUAACAUUUUCUCUCCCUUUUUAAUCUAUUAAUUUGGAGUAGUUGGAUGUAAUUGUAAUUAAAUAUAUGGGUGCUAUUUUUCAAAUGACUGAAAUGCUUUUAUGAAAAGAAGGAUGCCGUCUCAGAUCUAAACAUCAAGGGCCCUUGAGUGUUACUCCCACUCUCCCACUGACUCAUUGUUUGUCACUGGGCAAGUACAUUAGCUCUCUACCUCCGUUUCUUGCCUUCCAGGGCUAUUGUGAGAAUUAAUUAGAUAAUGUUUCAGCACAGCUUUGAACUGGAGAGUGCUACAAAAGUGCCAAGUUAUAAUUUAUUAUUAUGAAAGCAGGCAUGCUGGCUGGGGAACGAGACCUCUGAUGCAAUCCCAGCGGAGUGCGGACGGCGAGGAGGCUGGGACCUAGGACAAGAAACUCUCCUGUUGCCUUGGGAUCACCUCGGCGAUGUACCUGCAGAGUCUCCACUGCAGCCCCUGCUGGAGUGCGCUCAAGCGUUAAAUGCUCACUGCUGCAGCACACAGCCCCCCUUCCAGACAGCUUCCUGAUGAAAGCAGAGAAAUGAAGAAGUCCGUAAAGCCACAACCUAAAAUUCAAGACACAGAGCGUGAGAAGGAGAUGCAGAGCAUUUUGAUGUCAUCAUCGUGAUGAAGUUUAGCUGAAGUCAUCGAUGCACAUCGAUGUGAACUGGAAGUGCCAGAAGCCAGGUCCACAGCAGCCUCAUGCUGAAUAAAGUGGAAGGAAUGUCCUCAGAUCUGUUUCCAGGGUGAUGUUAUUUCCAGGGAGCAUGCUUUUCCCCUUCGGCUCAGACACUGCUUUUCCAGCAGCCAUGUCCAAGGGAACAAAGCUCUCCUCUCCUGCUCCCAGCCCCAGACAGGAAUUAACCUGGACAACAAACGUAUUCUGCGGGUACUUUGCCUAGAAAAAGCCCUAUUCUCUUGAAUUUGCCAUAUGAUUCUUAAGACACCCCUGAAGAAAAUCAUCCUCCGUUUUGCUGUGCCUGGUAACCUGAACGUUUAUCGCUUAUGAAGUUUUUAGCAUCUUGAGAUGUAUUUGGUGGAAAAAAAAAUAAUAGCACAGCUGGCUGCAGGAAGCUGCCAGCUUGACAGAAGAUUACAUCACUUUUGUUCACGGGCAGUGUGAGGACGCAAAGAAAGAGUACGUGACCAGAGGUUCACCUCUCAUUACACAUCACACAAAUAACGAGGGACAGCCAAAAGGAAAGAGUUGGGUUCCUUGCCCAUCCCACUACAAACGUGGAAAAACAACACUGCCAUACCUGUGUAAUGCUGCUCUAGCAUGAGGAAGGACUUGACCCUGUAUGUUAAAAAGCAAAAGCCUUGAAGAACAUUACUGGUGUUAACUUCAAACACUGUAAAUGAAGGGAGGAGAAACCCAGGGCUGAGACUUGCCGUCCCCAGCACCGAGCCCGCAAAGCAUCGCGACCGACCGACAGGGGCAGGCGGCGGCCGCCGGGGUGCGGUGAGCUGAGGAAACGCGGCCGGGCUGGUGCCGGUGG
Molecule: long non-coding RNA, 2807 nt
Organism: Oxyura jamaicensis (ruddy duck)
Lineage: Eukaryota; Metazoa; Chordata; Aves; Anseriformes; Anatidae
Exons: 3
Source: RefSeq, a predicted model, not a curated record